ACCCCCCCACACUUGGAUACCGCUGCCUAAAACAGGUCCUCAGCAACAGCCAGCCACCGCAUCACUCUAUGCAGCCUCUUCAUCGCGGCCCAACCAUCAUCAAAAAUGCCUAAGAACGUAAAAGGAUUAGGAAACCGCCAUGCACCACCACAAGGGAAGAGAAGAGGAAGAAUACAGGCCAGAAAUGCCCAUCAACAGCAAACACUCGGGCUGAGGAGACGACUCAGUAGGUAGAGCUUGUCCUGCAAGCACAGAGACCCGAGCGCCGUCCUCAGAACCCAUGUUUAUGGAAAGAAAAGGCAGACAACACCAAAGCUAAGUGGAAAGACCAAUUGCUUAAAGGCACCGCACGCUCUGGAUGCAGGCCGUGGUGAAAUCACACCGACACUGAGAUAGAAGCUUCCUCCACGCCUGCUUAUUUUCAUAAUGCUAGAAGUUGCAGCCUGGGCUUCUGGGGGAGAGAUGUCAUCAACGGUCCUACCCAGAUGUGGACCCUUGCAUAUUAGCAAUCCUGACCUGUCGGGCAAAAUGUGAUCACUGUACCCACCUACUUCUAUUCAGGAACCGGAAGAUUCCUGAGGAUGACGAGACCCACUGAACCACCAGACACACUCUCUCAAAGGCAGAAUAAAUACAUGAAGAGCUGACUGGCUACCCUUUCCCCUUCAGCCCUCAUCACUCAGGAAUCUACUUUCCAGCUUCCCCUUGGCAGGAAAUUGAGCAGAUCCCCCAAGGCCUGAUGGGACUACAGAGCUUCGAAACUGAGGCAUCUUAAGCAGGAAAAUUGUUCUUGACUUUGCAUAGUUUUUUUUUUUUUUAAGUUUCUUUCAAUGGUGGUUAUAAAUAGUUAUGGACCUGUCAAAUCCACAUCAAUGCUUCAGCUCUUUGAAAGGACUCAGACGGGAAAAGCUAUUUUAAGUGGGAGAAACUUUGAUGGCCAUCUCUCUCUCCUCUGCCUGUGAUGAUGCCACUUUGAUCUUCUAGCUCAGUCAGCCUGGUUUGAGCCCUCAGAAGCCCACGACUAAACACCCUGUUCCUAUUACUUCCUUAUUUGAUAUUUUAAUUGAACGAGCGCCAUCGUUUCCUGGCCAAUAUUCCCCAUCUGCUGCUUCUCCAUUUUUUUUCCCCAUCGGAGCACCUGAGGCAACACCCCUUCCUGGAACGAGAUCUGCUCUCUCUGGCUUCCUCUGGAAUCGACUCUGUUUCCUGAAGCCAGAGCCAUCCGCCUGCUGGAAACAAAUCUGCCCUCGAGGUGUCCCUCUGGAGGUCACCAUCUGGGUUCUGAACUACCCUGAGGGAGUGGGAGAUGGCAGUGCUCAGCAGCUGCCUCUGUGGGUUCCAAGCCAGCCUCUGCACAACGGCGGCCUUUGGAAAAGGCCGCUUUGAUUUGAAUAACAGCCAGUGCAGGAGCCAUCAAAUAAUGACUUAGUUAAACAAACUGGCCCCAUCGUGCAGAGAGAAACCUGGAAGAAGAAGCAAGGGCACAGUGAGGCAAAAAAGAGGAGGGGGCUAGAGAGAUGCCUCGGGAGUUAGGACCAUGUACUACUCUUGGAGGGGACCUGCCUUCAGUUCCCGACACCCACACGGGGCACAUACAUGCAGGCAGGCAAAAUGGUUAUACACACCAAAUAUAAAUAAAUAGAUCAUUUAAAAAAAAAAGAAAAAAAAGAACUCAACACUUAUAAGUCCCCAGACAGGAAGAAAGACAGAUGUGCCCUGAGUUGUAGCCUUCCCCGAAAUUUAUAGGUUAAGUAUUCAGAAUAAAUAGUCAGAAAACACGCUUCUACUCUGUACCAGGUGCCCACAGUGAUGGAGAAGGUCCAUCCCACACCCCCAGACCAGCCUCACCUCACACAAGGCUGUCAGUGCUAUUUAUUUCCAUCCUUGUUGCUCAAGUCACUUAGGGAAGAAAGGGUUUAAUUGGGUUUGCCGUCUGAGGACCACCACAGUGCGGAGGUCAGGACGGCAGCAGCUUCGGACAGCCGGUCACAUCGCAUCUGCACUCAGGAAGCAGAGGGCAGAGAACACUGUUGCUCGGCCCACUUCAUUCAGUCCGGGCUCCACUCAUGCGAUGAUGGGCCUUCCCACCUCAGAGAACUUCAUCUAGAUCUAAUGUCACAGGCAUUAACAGAUCCUGUCCUUGACAAUUCAAGAUUAACCAUUGAACUGUCCAACAGGAUGAUAGAAGAAGUCAUGGUGA
This is a non-coding RNA of Peromyscus maniculatus bairdii (prairie deer mouse), 2200 nucleotides long. NCBI's taxonomy places the organism in Eukaryota, Metazoa, Chordata, Mammalia, Rodentia, Cricetidae. The record is from RefSeq and is a predicted model, not a curated record.